Molecule: ribosomal RNA, 371 nt
Filed under: uncultured Gemmata sp.
Lineage: Bacteria; Pseudomonadati; Planctomycetota; Planctomycetia; Gemmatales; Gemmataceae
Description: bacterial SSU rRNA
Rfam family: Bacterial small subunit ribosomal RNA
Source: RNAcentral
CGAACGGUAUCCAACCCGGAAGCUGUCACAGGUGCUGCAUGGCUGUCGUCAGCUCGUGUCGUGAGAUGUCGGGUUAAGUCCCAUAACGAGCGAAACCCUUACCUUUAGUUGCUACCGAAAGGGCACUCUAGAGGGACUGCCGGUGUUAAACCGGAGGAAGGUGGGGAUGACGUCAAGUCCUCAUGGCCUUUAUGUCCAGGGCUGCACACGUGCUACAAUGGCGUGAACAAAGUGACGCGACUUUGCGAAAAGAAGCAAAUCACAUAAAUCACGCCCCAGUUCAGAUCGAAGGCUGCAACUCGCCUUCGUGAAGCCGGAAUCGCUAGUAAUCGCGGGUCAGCAACACCGCGGUGAAUGUGUUCCUGAGCCUU